RNAcentral lists this long non-coding RNA (886 nucleotides) under Fukomys damarensis (Damara mole-rat). RNAcentral's name for it is "lncRNA (ENSFDAG00000030937.1)". The record is from RNAcentral. Lineage: Eukaryota; Metazoa; Chordata; Mammalia; Rodentia; Bathyergidae.
AGCAUGUGAAACAUUAAUUAUCACAUCUACUUAUGUACAACAAAUCUAAAACAUAGUGCGGGAUUCCCAAAGUCACACAGUGAGUGACCAGAACCAGAGCAGAGAACUCUUUCACUUUAUACUGGUAUGUGACCCUUGUCCCAAGACCCUAACAACUCUGCCCAGACCAUCCCAGAUUCUUGAAAGUGUUUUGUCUACUUACAGCCACCGUAACUGGAGAUUUGAGGAAUUCAUGAAAUUGCUGAUUCACUACCUCUCAAAUAAUGGCAAGAGCUGUCUCUCUUCUGGAUGAAGGGAAGAGAUUGUGGAAAUGGCAGUCCGACACCUGGAAUUCUAGCUCUGUCUAGAUAUAUAUUUGAUGCCAAAUGGUCCUCCAAUACCAGGACAAGAAGAUACUACUAUUGUUGCAUCACAACACCGUCCCUAAAGUCAAGCCCAUUCUACACUUGGCUAUGGUGGUUUAUCUUUUUCUGGAUGGUUGCAUAGCCAAGACAAAGAAAUUCACAGAACACAGAAGAUACGACAAGGCUGUGGCUGCCAAGACACAGGAUCAUGGGAUUAUCACAGUGUCUGACUGGCACACGCGGGUUAAAGGUGAAGAGUUCAUAGACAUCACUCCUACCACAACAGGGCCAACGUGCCUAAGUGAAUCACAGGACCCACAGGGCACUGACCGUCUACGUGAGAUAACAACGACCAGAUGAGCUGCAGUUCAGCAAAUGCUCCAGAGCACAGAGAACGGGAGAAGUUUUCCUGGGAUCCUGCAGAAAGUGAGACUGCUGGAAAGCACCGAAAUUAAGUUGCCCACUUCAUUAGGUUUAGGAAAAACUGCGGUAAUUGCUCUAUCAGUGUAAACUUCUCUUAAGUUGUUUCUGAUUCUAAUGUG